GGGCAUGCCAAGAUGGCAGCCGUUGCGGGCCUUUACGGAUUGGGCGAUGACUCCCGUCAUCAGCGUCAGCGGAGGCAGCAGGCCCAGCAGGCGAACCAGGACAAAACCGACAAAACGCCGGACGGGCUAAGCGAACCGUAAGUUCCAGUGUUCUAAUGACAAUCAACAAGAGAAUUUGCCCGCAUCAGCGAUUUCACCAGCAGUAAUUGCUGAAAUUGAUCAUGGAACUAAUUAUUGGGUUUCCACUUUUGCCAAACUGACUGAUAGAGCUGAAGGUAUUUUGAGAUCAAAUUAAAUCUGAUGGUUUCAUCAGACUGAAUGACGCUUUGUGUCGAUGACAAAUGAUAUAAAAUUCGUCAACGAUCCGUGAUAAUACUUUAUAUUCGAUUUAUAGCCAUGCCAACAAUUUUUCAUACUGCACCUAAAACUGAAAAUAUUCUUUAACCUUAGAUUUUAUGUUUUAUUUUAUCUCUUGCAAAUAAGUUUUGAAAUUAACAACAUAUAUCCAUCGGCAAAAAACUGAUUAUUUUCGAAGAAUUUUCAAGAGGUAAUUAAAUGUAAGGUAAUUAUUUAUGAAAUAAGGAGUGAAAAGUGGAAAGCAAACAACAACAAUACAUGAAAAGUAAACAUUUAAAAAUAUGAAGAUAGAAUCAUAUGAUGAAGAAUAAAAUGUUUCUUGUUCAAAUCGGAAUCUAUGGUUUAAGAAAAUAAAAAGUGAAAAGUAAAGUCCUUGAAGAAAAACCAAAAAUUGAAAAAUAAAAAUAAGACUGUAAAUUAAGUAAAGGUAGGAAAAUGAAAACAAAGGGUAGCAAGAGACAAAAAAAGAAAGAAUAUGCAAUUAAAAGAGAAAAUAGUUAGUUAAAUUCGUAAAGGAACAGUAACAAGCAAUAAGUGAUUAGUUAAAAGUUAUAAGUAACAAGACAAAAGUGAAAAGUGAAAAACAUGAACAGCAGAAAAUGAAAAACUAAUUUAUAAGAAAAGAGAGAAAAAGGAUUAAAUAAAAAAUAGAAGUAAUGAACAGAAAAAGUAAACAAAAGAACGAACAUACAGAGUAAGAAGUUAAAUACAGAAUUGAAACGGAAAUAUUACCAACAUAAAAAAAUGAAAAAAGGUGGAGAGAAAAAUGUUACCUGCAAAUGAAAAAGGAAGAACCAAAGAGGUAAAGCAGAAAGUCAAAAAUAAGAAAUGAAAACAAAAUCAACGCAAGUCAACUAAACAGUGGAAAGUUAGAAGUAUCGAAAAAAAGAAGUAAAAAGACUUAAUGUAGUUAAAUUCAAAAAGUUUGAAUAGAAAAGUUAAAUUGAAGAGUAAAUAAUUAAAAGUAAAUAGUAAAAAAAUAAGUCCAAAGUGAAAAGUUACUAGUAAAUGGUGGAAAACAAAAACAAAAAAAGAGAUAAGGCAAAAACUAGAACUUGUAGCGUGUAAAGCAGAAGUACAAAGUAAACAAUAAAACAAAGCAGAUAGUGAAAAGUGAAAAGUGAAGAAAAAUAGAUUAAAUAAUUAAAAGUAAAAGUGAAGAGCAAAUAAGGAAUUAACAAAAAGAAAGAAGAGAUGAGUACAAAGCGAAAAGUAAAAAUUGAAAAGAAACAUGUGAAGAGUAAAACCUGAACAAUAAAAACAAAACAUGUAAGAAGUGAAAAGUAACACAUAAUGAGUAAAAAAUGAAUGGUGAGUAAAUAGAACAGACGAUUCAAGAGAAAAUAAUGGAA
Molecule: long non-coding RNA, 1709 nt
Organism: Wyeomyia smithii (pitcher-plant mosquito)
Lineage: Eukaryota; Metazoa; Arthropoda; Insecta; Diptera; Culicidae
Exons: 2
Source: RefSeq, a predicted model, not a curated record